GGGACUGGAGGACUGGAGUUUGGCUGUUGGGGGUGCUGGAGGAUUGGAGUUUUGCUGUUGGGGGUACUGGAGGACUGGAGUUGGGCUGUUGGGGAGACUGGAGGACUGGAGUUGGGCUGUUGGGGGGACUGGAGUUGGGCUGUUGGGGGACUGGAGUUGGGCUGUUGGGAGUACUGUAGUAGUAGCUAGUACUGUUAGCUGUUAGCUACUGAAGCUAGUAUUGUUAGCUGUUAGCUGUUAGCUAGCUAGUACUGUUAGCUGUUAGCUAGCUAGUACUGUUAGCUGUUAGCUAGCUAGUAUUGUUAGCUGUUAGCUACUGUAGCUAGUACUGUAAGCUAGCCAGAUAGCCACGAAGAAAUGUUAGCUAGCUACCCUAGAAUUUACCUAACAUUAGUAACAUUAGUUUUAGGUCAUUUUUGCCUGUUAAAAUGUCUGGUUAGCUACAUUAUUAUGAAUCACAUAUAGUUAUGAUUCACAUAACUAUCAUAGCUGAUAGUUAUGAAGUAAAACGUUUUCUUAGUGUAUAUCUUGUUUGGUCUCUAUUUUUGCCAUUGUCCUGGCUGGAAGGCAGUUCAGUGUAUGGGUUAGUCCAUAGUAAGUCAAUAGGGCUAACUGGCUAGCUAGCUAGCCACAAACAAUUGGUAGCUAGCUACUCACGAAAAAUGUACAUCUACCUUGCAUAACAUUAGUUUUUAGCUCAUUUUUGCCUGUUUAACUAGCUGGCUAGCAAGAUUAUUACAAUUGACAUAAAUCGAGCUGAUAAUUAUGAAGUAAAAUGUUUUCUGUGUGUAUAUCUUGUUUGGUCUCUAUUGUUACCAUUGUCCUGGCUGGAAGACAGUUAAGUGAAGUGAGGAGGUGCAGCGUGAGGUAAUAGAGUUGGGGGAGGAACAGCGUGAGGUAAUACAGUAGGGGGAGGAGCAGCGUGAGGUAAUACAGUAGGGGGAGGAGCUGCGUGAGGUAAUACAGUAGGGGGAGGAGCAGCGUGAGGUAAUACAGUAGGGGGAGGAGCAGCGUGAGGUAAUACACUAGGGGGAUCAGCAGCGUGAGGUAAUACAGUAGGGGGAGGAGCAGCGUGAGGUAAUACAGUAGGGGGAGGAGCAGCGUGAGGUAAUACAGUAGGGGGAGGAGCAGCGUGAGGUAAUACAGUAGGGGGAGGAGCAGCGUGAGGUAAUACAGUAGGGGGAGGAGCAGCGUGAGGUAGUAGAGUAGGGGGGGGAGAGUGCUUCUAAAAUGUAAUGAUUUAUGCGUUCUCCACACUCUCAUCCUCACAAGAUCGUAUUGAAGAGCACAUCCUCGGAGAAUGAGAGUGUGGAGAGAGAGAGAGACAGGGGUCAGGUCUGUGUGGGUGGUGAUGGUGUAGUAGAGGUAGUGAUGGGGUCAGGUCUGUGUGGGUGGUGAUGGUGUAGUAGAGGUAGUGAUGGGGUCAGGUCUGUGUGGGUGGUGAUGGUGUAGUAGAGGUAGUGAUGGGGUCAGGUCUGUGUGGGUGGUGACGGUGUAGUAGAGGUAGUGAUGGGGUCAGGUCUGUGUGGGUGGUGAUGGUGUAGUAGAGGUAGUGAUCGGGUCAGGUCUGUGUGGGUGGUGAUGGUGUAGUAGAGGUAGUGAUGGGGUCAGGUCUGUGUGGGUGGUGAUGGUGUAGUAGAGGUAGUGAUGGGGUCAGGUCUGUGUGGGUGGUGAUGGUGUAGUAGAGGUAGUGAUCGGGUCAGGUCUGUGUGGGUGGUGAUGGUGUAGUAGAGGUAGUGAUGGGGUCAGGUCUGUGGGUGGUGAUGGUGUAGUAGAGGUAGUGAUGGGGUCAGGUCUGUGUGGGUGGUGAUGGUGUAGUAGAGGUAGUGAUGGGGUCAGGUCUGUGUGGGUGGUGAUGGUGUAGUAGAGGUAGUGAUGUGGUCAGGUCUGUGUGGGUGGUGAUGGUGUAGUAGAGGUAGUGAUGGGGUCAGGUCUGUGUGGGUGGUGACGGUGUAGUAGAGGUAGUGAUGGGGUCAGGUCUGUGUGGGUGGUGAUGGUGUAGUAGAGGUAGUGAUGGGGUCAGGUCUGUGUGGGUGGUGAUGGUGUAGUAGAGGUAGUGAUGGGGUCAGGUCUGUGUGGGUGGUGACGGUGUAGUAGAGGUAGUGAUGGGGUCAGGUCUGUUAUUAUGAAGGUAGUGACAUAUUCCAAUAUAGAAAAAGUCAUUCUGUUGAUCUUAGAUGGACCAAUUGUUUAAUCAACACUAACUGUUUUAUCAAUAACGGAUAAGAUCCUAAAGUUAACAUCAGUAUUUCACAGUGUUAUUGUUGGACUGGUGUGUGUGUGACAGGUAUGACGUAAGAGGAAGAACAAUACGAGUGAACAACUCUUUAAUGUUUAAAACUCCCAGCGAUGAAGACCGACACACACACACACACACACACACACACACACACACACACACACACACACAGACACAGAGUAUAAUUGCUGGAUAAGGGGUUGAAAUGUCUAUCAUAGCUAGAGGUGGGGAGGAGGGGGUGUUGAGGCCUCUGGAAAGGCCAGGGCAGACAGGAGAUCACAUGGAAGUGGUUUGAUCAUACAUAAGAUACGGUUAUACAGUUUAGAAGAGGAAGUUAGAGGGGGAGGAAUGUAGGUGAGGGAGGAAGAGAGAGC
Molecule: long non-coding RNA, 2613 nt
Filed under: Salmo salar (Atlantic salmon)
Lineage: Eukaryota; Metazoa; Chordata; Actinopteri; Salmoniformes; Salmonidae
Description: lncRNA (ENSSSAG00000084898.1)
Source: RNAcentral